GGUAGAUACCAAGUGCAUAGUGG
This 23-nucleotide non-coding RNA is filed under the name Arabidopsis thaliana (thale cress). The record is from RNAcentral. Lineage: Eukaryota; Viridiplantae; Streptophyta; Magnoliopsida; Brassicales; Brassicaceae.